CUGGGAAUUAUAGUCAUUAGACGCCUGUUGGACGUGGGCUGUCGUAGUCUUGGAACUACAAUUCCCGGUGGGCUACACGCUGCACUCGCUGUCGUUAGCCGUGAGCCGGGAGAUUGCCUCAGCUGGCCCAAGUGUGUGCUUUAGUGUUGCGAGCAUCUGGUUGCACUGAGAGGGAGGGGAAAGAUUGUAAUCACUUCUUUGAAGGGGUUCGCCGAGUCACUGUCGUGGGUUUGUAGAUUCUCCAGGAGGUGCCAUGGCGGAGAGUCAAAAAAACAAGAAGGAAAAAAACCCAAAUCCUGGGAAGUGGUUGUGGCUUAAGUGAUAAGGGCCUACCAUACGGGAUGACCCAGGUUUGAUCCCUGGGGCCUUCUGGUGAAAAAGAAGAGAAAACAUGACUGCAUGGCAAGCCAAGUGCCCACGUGGUAAGCCAAGUGCCCACGUGGUGAGCCGAGUGUCCGUGUGGUGAGCUGAGUGCCCAUGUGGGUGCCUACACAGUGAGCCGAGGGACCACAUGGUGAGCUGAGUGCCCACAUGAGGGCCUGCAUGGUGAGCCAAGUGCUUGCAAGGUGAGCCAGUUGCCCACUAGUACUCGCGUGGUGAACCGAGUGCCCAUGUGAGUGCCCACGUGAGUGCCCACGUGGCAAGCCGAGUGCCUGUCUGUGUGCCCACGUGGUAAGCCAGUACCCGUGCAAGUGAGUCACGCAAGAUGAUGACAC
Molecule: long non-coding RNA, 716 nt
Filed under: Dasypus novemcinctus (nine-banded armadillo)
Lineage: Eukaryota; Metazoa; Chordata; Mammalia; Cingulata; Dasypodidae
Description: lncRNA (ENSDNOG00000050652.1)
Source: RNAcentral